Molecule: transfer RNA, 75 nt
Filed under: Bacillota bacterium
Lineage: Bacteria; Bacillati; Bacillota
Also listed under: 2 other names
Description: Firmicutes bacterium (sediment metagenome) tRNA-Val
Rfam family: tRNA
About the family: Transfer RNA (tRNA) molecules are approximately 80 nucleotides in length.
Source: RNAcentral
GGGCGAGUGGCUCAGCGGCAGAGCGCCUCCCUUACACGGAGGAGGACGCAGGUUCAAAUCCUGCCUCGCCCACCA